Molecule: ribosomal RNA, 778 nt
Filed under: Flagellimonas marinaquae
Lineage: Bacteria; Pseudomonadati; Bacteroidota; Flavobacteriia; Flavobacteriales; Flavobacteriaceae
Description: bacterial SSU rRNA
Rfam family: Bacterial small subunit ribosomal RNA
Source: RNAcentral
UUGCCUUUGAUACUGCAGGUCUUGAGUCAUGGUGGGGUUGCCGGAACAUGUGGUGUAGCGGUGAAAUGCAUAGAUAUCACAUAGAACACCGAUCGCGAAGGCAGGUGACCAACCAUGUACUGACGCUGAUGGACGAAAGCGUGGGUAGCGAACGGGAUUAGAUACCCCGGUAGUCCACGCCGUAAACGAUGGAUACUAGCUGUGGGGACUUCGGUCUCCGUGGCCAAGCGAAAGUGAUAAGUAUCCCACCUGGGGAGUACGUUCGCAAGAAUGAAACUCAAAGGAAUUGACGGGGGCCCGCACAAGCGGUGGAGCAUGUGGUUUAAUUCGAUGAUACGCGAGGAACCUUACCAGGGCUUAAAUGCAGGCUGCAUGGGGUAGAGAUACCCCUUUCUUCGGACCGCCUGCAAGGUGCUGCAUGGUUGUCGUCAGCUCGUGCCGUGAGGUGUCAGGUUAAGUCCUAUAACGAGCGCAACCCCUACCGUUAGUUGCCAGCAUGUCAAGAUGGGGACUCUAACGGGACUGCCGGUGCAAACCGUGAGGAAGGUGGGGACGACGUCAAAUCAUCACGGCCCUUACGUCCUGGGCUACACACGUGCUACAAUGGCCGGUACAGAGGGAAGCCACCCCGCAAGGGGGCGCGGAUCUACAAAACCGGUCACAGUUCGGAUCGGGGUCUGCAACUCGACCCCGUGAAGCUGGAAUCGCUAGUAAUCGGAUAUCAGCCAUGAUCCGGUGAAUACGUUCCCGGGCCUUGUACACACCGCCCGUCAAGCCA